RNAcentral lists this ribosomal RNA (237 nucleotides) under uncultured Hyphomicrobiales bacterium. RNAcentral describes it as "uncultured Rhizobiales bacterium partial 16S ribosomal RNA". It matches the Rfam family "Bacterial small subunit ribosomal RNA", at positions 70 to 334 of the family's 1533-position model. The record is from RNAcentral. Lineage: Bacteria; Pseudomonadati; Pseudomonadota; Alphaproteobacteria; Hyphomicrobiales.
CGGUAGCAAUACGUCAGCGGCAGACGGGUGAGUAACACGUGGGAACGUACCUUUGGUUCGGAACAACUGAGGGAAACUUCAGCUAAUACCGGAUAAGCCCUAACGGGGAAAGAUUUAUCGCCGAAAGAUCGGCCCGCGUCUGAUUAGCUAGUUGGUGAGGUAAUGGCUCACCAAGGCGACGAUCAGUAGCUGGUCUGAGGGGAUGAUCAGCCACACUGGGACUGAGACACGGCCCAG